RNAcentral lists this ribosomal RNA (801 nucleotides) under uncultured bacterium. Its description in RNAcentral is "bacterial SSU rRNA". It matches the Rfam family "Bacterial small subunit ribosomal RNA", at positions 65 to 866 of the family's 1533-position model. The record is from RNAcentral.
CACGGCAGUGGCCUUCGGGCCAUGAGAGUGGCGGACGGGUGCGUAACGCGUAUGCAACCUGCCUCCGGGGGGGGGAUAGCCUGUAGAAAUGCAGAUUAAUACCCCAUGAGACCACGCGCCGGCAUCGGCGAGGGGUCAAAGGCGCGAGCCGCCUGGAGAUGGGCAUGCGUGACAUUAGCUAGUUGGCGGGGUAACGGCCCACCAAGGCGACGAUGUCUAGCUGGUCUGAGAGGAUGAUCAGCCACACUGGGACUGAGACACGGCCCAGACUCCUACGGGAGGCAGCAGUAGGGAAUAUUGGACAAUGGACGCAAGUCUGAUCCAGCCAUGCCGCGUGUAGGAAGAAGGCCCUCUGGGUUGUAAACUACUUUUGUCGGGGAAUAAACCACCGCUAUACGCGGUGCUGAAGGUACCCGAAGAAUAAGCACCGGCUAACUCCGUGCCAGCAGCCGCGGUAAUACGGAGGGUGCAAGCGUUGUCCGGAUUUAUUGGGUUUAAAGGGUGCGUAGGCGGCCCUGUAAGUCAGCGGUGAAAUCCCAAGGCUCAACCUUGGAAUUGCCGUUGAUACUGCAGGGCUUGAGUCCGACCGAGGUCGUUGGAACGCGUAGUGUAGCGGUGAAAUGCUUAGAUAUUACGCAGAACACCGAUUGCGAAGGCAGAUGGCUAGGUCGGAACUGACGCUGAGGCACGAAAGUGCGGGGAUCAAACAGGAUUAGAUACCCUGGUAGUCCGCACCGUAAACGAUGGAUACUAUGUGUCCGGCCUUUCGGGGCUGGGUGCCCAAAGGGAAACCGAUAAGUA